AUGGGAAAUUGUAGGAGUUGUUAUAAAUGUUGUUGUGAACCUGACGAGGUUCAAUAUGAAGGAGAUGCAAAACGAAUGGGUCAGAAAGCACUAGAUAAUGUAAAAUAUAUAAAAAAGUGGGAAAAGAAGUAUGGGUUUAGAGGAAAGUUACAGGUGGAAGAAUGCAAAGAAUUGGUAGAAAAGAUAGAGACAAAGUCAAAGGGAAGUAAGAAGAGGCAGAAGAAGGAAGGUUAUGCACAGGCAUGGUUGGACGAGGCAGAGGCAAGAAAGAGAGGAAUGCAGAAGCAGAAAGAAAAGGAAGUGAGACAACGCAAAGAAGAAAUUGAGAAAAGAGAGGUUGAAGAAAGGAAGAGACAGGAAGAAAAAGAGAAAAAGGAAAAGGAAAAAGAUUCAGGAAGUAAUAAACUUUAUCCUGUUUUGUACUCCAACCGAGAUAAACAGGAGGAUGAUGAUUAUGUGCCUCUGGGUCCCCAUCCUGAUCCUCCCCCGUACAUCAACCCUCAACUACCGCCGCCUCCUGCCCAGGCCUCCGCUCCACGUCCUCCCCCUCCUUCUCUCUCUGCACCUACUCUCUCCGCUCCUGUACCAACAGAAAGAGCCAUAGGAAGUGCAAAAACAACAAGGUCUGGUAAGUGGUAUGACUCUUUUAAACCUUCUGUCAUGCCUAUAAUCUCCCCGCCAAAGAAGACAGUGAGUUUAAACAUAGAAGAAGAAGAAAUAUAUCCAAUGAUAGAAAUGCCGAACCCAAGAGCUGGGGAUGGACAGGAUGCAACAAUUAGAGUGUAUAGAGCUUGGACAGAGGGUGAUGUGAAAGACGCAGCAUGCGGCGUUCCACAUCCCAUGGAAAAUACAGGAGAGUUUAGAGAACAAUUUCAAAGAUUGUGUAACAGUUUCCAGUUGAACACCUUAGAGGCAGAAAGAAUACUAAGGUGUAUUGUGAAGCAAGAUUGGUGUUUGAUUAAGGGGACAUGGGACCCAUUCCGCAAUAAUGUCACCAUACCAUAUGGGGAUGCUCAAUGGACUGUCCGAGUUGAUGCUUUAAUUCAAAGAAUAAUAACUCACUUUCAGGGAAGAGCAGACUAUAGUAAAAUAGCGCGGUGUGUACAGAAUGCAGAUGAAGGUGUGUUGAUUUACCUAGAUAGACUGAAAAUAGUGUUUGCAGCAAACAGCGGUAUGCAACAGGAUAAUGCUGACAAUGGUCCCUACAAUAUGCAGUUGAAAAAUGCAUUCCUGAAUGGAAUGAGGCCAGAGAUCUCACAGUUUGUGAGAAAACACCUAAUUGGUGUUGGAACAGCUGGGAUACAAGCUACGACUGACCAUGCAGUACAUGCAGAGAAUGUACUGAAAGAAAAGAAGGCCAAGAAAGGCGGAACAAAAAAGGCAAGUGAAGUGUUUGUCAUGGAUGAUGAUGAUGAUGAUGAAAAUUAUCCUAAUGCAUUUACUGAUGUGUAUUUUUGA
Molecule: long non-coding RNA, 1458 nt
Filed under: Sparus aurata (gilthead seabream)
Lineage: Eukaryota; Metazoa; Chordata; Actinopteri; Spariformes; Sparidae
Description: lncRNA (ENSSAUG00010010767.1)
Source: RNAcentral